CACUAGUCAAGAGCUGGUGUCGCUCUCCUGAUGAGUCCAAGGCAAGACGAAACCAAAA
RNAcentral lists this non-coding RNA (58 nucleotides) under Helianthus annuus (common sunflower). The record is from RNAcentral. Lineage: Eukaryota; Viridiplantae; Streptophyta; Magnoliopsida; Asterales; Asteraceae.